RNAcentral lists this ribosomal RNA (460 nucleotides) under uncultured bacterium. Its description in RNAcentral is "partial 16S ribosomal RNA". It matches the Rfam family "Bacterial small subunit ribosomal RNA", at positions 338 to 795 of the family's 1533-position model. The record is from RNAcentral.
CCUACGGGUGACAGCAGUGAGGAAUAUUGGUCAAUGGGCGCGAGCCUGAACCAGCCACGUAGCGUGAAGGAUGACUGCCCUACGGGUUGUAAACUUCUUUUAUAAAGGAAUAAAGUGAGGUACGUGUGCCUUUUUGUAUGUACUUUAUGAAUCAGGCUCGGCUAACUCCGUGCCAGCAGCCGCGGUAAUACGGAGGAUCCGAGCGUUAUCCGGAUUUAUUGGGUUUAAAGGGAGCGUAGAUGGGUUGUUAAGUCAGUUGUGAAAGUUUGCGGCUCAACCGUAAAAUUGCAAUUGAUACUGGCAGGCUUGAGUACAGGUGAGGUAGGCGGAAUGCGUGGUGUAGCGGUGAAAUGCUUAGAUAUCACGAAGAACUCCGAUUGCGAAGGCAGCUUACUAAACUGCCACUGACAUUGAUGCUCGAAAGUGUGGGUAGCAAACAGGAUUAGAUACCCUAGUAGUC